RNAcentral lists this transfer RNA (62 nucleotides) under Amblyomma triguttatum (ornate kangaroo tick). Its description in RNAcentral is "tRNA-Tyr". Lineage: Eukaryota; Metazoa; Arthropoda; Arachnida; Ixodida; Ixodidae. The record is from RNAcentral.
GUAAAAUGGCCGAAUUUUAGGUGAUAAAUUGUAAAUUUAUUUAUGGAUAUUUUCCUUUUGCU